This 433-nucleotide ribosomal RNA is filed under the name uncultured bacterium. Its description in RNAcentral is "partial 16S ribosomal RNA". It matches the Rfam family "Bacterial small subunit ribosomal RNA", at positions 29 to 507 of the family's 1533-position model. The record is from RNAcentral.
AACGAACGCUGGCGGCAUGCCUAACACAUGCAAGUCGAACGAGACCUUCGGGUCUAGUGGCGCACGGGUGCGUAACGCGUGGGAACCUGCCCUUAGGUUCGGAAUAACUCCCCGAAAGGGGUGCUAAUACCGGAUAAUGUCUUCGGACCAAAGAUUUAUCGCCUUUGGAUGGGCCCGCGUUGGAUUAGCUAGUUGGUAGGGUAAAAGCCUACCAAGGCGACGAUCCAUAGCCGGUCUGAGAGGAUGAUCAGCCACACUGGGACUGAGACACGGCCCAGACUCCUACGGGAGGCAGCAGUGGGGAAUAUUGGACAAUGGGCGAAAGCCUGAUCCAGCAAUGCCGCGUGAGUGAUGGAGGCCUUAGGGUUGUAAAGCUCUUUUACCCGGGAUGAUAAUGACAGUACCGGGAGAAUAAGCUCCGGCUAACUCCGUG